RNAcentral lists this long non-coding RNA (2686 nucleotides) under Zea mays. RNAcentral describes it as "long non-coding RNA (ZMAY_LNC001168)". Lineage: Eukaryota; Viridiplantae; Streptophyta; Magnoliopsida; Poales; Poaceae. The record is from RNAcentral.
CCCCCCCUUCCAUCUCCUCCUCUCUCAAUCCUUGCAGCCACACCACCAAAUCCUAGCCCCCCCCAUCUCCUCCUCCCAAGGUGCCAUUCCUUGCCGCUCGGAUCGUCGUCGCGUGGUGUGAAUCUUCAAUUGUUUUGGUGGAGGGAAGAAGGGAGGAAGGAAAGGGGGAGAAUCCAAGGUGAUUUUUGUGUUCAUCUCUUGUUCAUUUGUGCUGCAAUCCAAGUGAUUAGAUGUUGCGUAUGCGAUUGGGUAGAGGGGGCUGCCCAGAAUUUUAGGUGGUGGAUGAACAGCAGUAGUUCUAGCAGUUUCUGGUUUUUUUCGUGAGAAAUUAAUGGAAAUCAGUUUGAAGAUCAUGUAGAACUUUGUCUUACCUUUCCAACGAGUAUUUAUGCGCUCAAUUUGGAGUUAUAAAUUGAAAGUUAUCACCGUUUGAAUCCGGGUAUGUGGCUGUCCAAAAAAACAGAUUUUUAGGGGGAUGAACAGCAGCAGUAUUAGCAGUUUCUGGGGAUUUUUCGGGAGUAAUUAGUGUUAAUCAGUAUAAGAAUCAUGAAGGGCUCUUUCUUAUCUUUCCAACAAGUACUUAUGCGCUUGAUUCGGAAUUAUAUUUUAAAAGUUAUCGCUGUUUGAAUCCGAGUAUGUCGCUGCCCAAAACAGGAAAAAACAGAUUGCAGGGUUUAUUUUGUGGACCGUUUAGGGGUAAUUAGAUUUUAGAAUUUAACCAUAAAUUGUAUACAAAACUUGUGGGGAAUUUUAUGUAGUUGUCUCUGGAGUUUUUGUUUGACACCACUGCUGUCUUAAUUUUAAAGUUAUGGAAUUGUUAAGCAGCGCCGCUGCAGUUUGGUUGGUGUGGGGAGAAUUGUUACCCGCGGUNNNNNNNNNNNNNNNNNNNNNNNNNNNNNNNNNNNNNNNNNNNNNNNNNNNNNNNNNNNNNNNNNNNNNNNNNNNNNNNNNNNNNNNNNNNNNNNNNNNNGGUAGAGGGGGUGCCCAGAAUUUUAGGUGGUGGAUGAACAGCAGUAGUUCUAGCAGUUUCUGGUUUUUUUCGUGAGAAAUUAAUGGAAAUCAGUUUGAAGAUCAUGUAGAACUUUGUCUUACCUUUCCAACGAGUAUUUAUGCGCUCAAUUUGGAGUUAUAAAUUGAAAGUUAUCACCGUUUGAAUCCGGGUAUGUGGCUGUCCAAAAAAACAGAUUUUUAGGGGGAUGAACAGCAGCAGUAUUAGCAGUUUCUGGGGAUUUUUCGGGAGUAAUUAGUGUUAAUCAGUAUAAGAAUCAUGAAGGGCUCUUUCUUAUCUUUCCAACAAGUACUUAUGCGCUUGAUUCGGAAUUAUAUUUUAAAAGUUAUCGCUGUUUGAAUCCGAGUAUGUCGCUGCCCAAAACAGGAAAAAACAGAUUGCAGGGUUUAUUUUGUGGACCGUUUAGGGGUAAUUAGAUUUUAGAAUUUAACCAUAAAUUGUAUACAAAACUUGUGGGGAAUUUUAUGUAGUUGUCUCUGGAGUUUUUGUUUGACACCACUGCUGUCUUAAUUUUAAAGUUAUGGAAUUGUUAAGCAGCGCCGCUGCAGUUUGGUUGGUGUGGGGAGAAUUGUUACCCGCGGCGGGGUUUGAGAUUGCGCGUAGGUGCGGCGUUGUUUUGAGGCUUUUUAUGUGAAUUUGGUGCACUAAGUUGGGUGUCAAAAACAGGUGGUGGACUUCCGGAUCAUUCUUAGGGAUUUGCCCAAACUUCCGGUGAAGGCAAGUAAAACUGUGAUGGUUAUUCCGUCUGUCAGAUGAGGAGUCUUAUACUUGAUUAUGUUGUGCUAUUGUGUUCAUAUUCAUAUUUUUUUUGAGUACCAUCAUUUGAAAAUGUUCAUGUUUCAUGGAUUUCAUAUGUUGAGUUUGAGGUUUGAUUAUGUUACUCAAGUGGUUAUUAUGUGGAAUGGGUGGAAGUAUAUGUCUAGCACAUUUUAUUUGGGAAGAACUCAUGAUGUUGUCAUGCAUAAUGCACUCAUCAUCCAUUGCAUUGAAGUUUUGUCGCGAUCUUAUGGUCCGACCGUACCGGUACAUUGAGCAUCAUAUGUUGCCCGAGAAGGGGUAUGAUGCAGCUUCAUAUCCUUAGAGAUAUGGAGGCAGAAGUCAUUAUUGCAUCUGUAGCCAUAUGCAUUCAUGAGAGAGGUGUGGAAUCUAUUAUGUGGGUGUGGAUAAUCUGGACUUGUGCAUGGCGAUUCUUCUUGGCAUUAAGUAUUUAGUUACUUGUUUACUUGCUGCAAUUUAAUGUUCAAAAAGGAAGUUUUGAACCACGUGGUUGUUUAAGUACAGUUGAUUUACAAUGUCCAAUUUAUUGUUGCUAUGUUUACUUGCUGAGAUGAGUCAUCUCACAUCUUGCAUUGUUUGAUGCAGGCACCUAAUUUUCUGCUUUUGGGAAAAGAGGGAUGUAGCAGCCCGGCCACUACACCUUUAAUAAAGGAACCACCACUUAAUAAUGUUGUUAAUCAGAGAGGGUCAAGUCUAGUGAAUUACUUUGUUCUUGGUUGAGUGUUUGUUUUGGGGUGGGCUGAGUUCCUUAUCUCAUUUAUUUUGCUUCUGUUGGGUCAUGAAUGUGUCUUACCACCUUUGCAUUUAGAUUCUACUACGUGAAUUAUCUGUCUUUAUAUCCUGUAUGAAUUACAUGUUUCCCCUCCAUGUUAUGCUAGUUUCAAAGAAGGUGCUGCCGGA